RNAcentral lists this non-coding RNA (21 nucleotides) under Caenorhabditis elegans. The record is from RNAcentral. Lineage: Eukaryota; Metazoa; Nematoda; Chromadorea; Rhabditida; Rhabditidae.
UAGAACAUUUUUUUAAAAUAU